Molecule: ribosomal RNA, 254 nt
Filed under: uncultured bacterium
Lineage: Bacteria
Description: partial 16S ribosomal RNA
Rfam family: Bacterial small subunit ribosomal RNA
Source: RNAcentral
UACGGGGGGAGCAAGCGUUGUUCGGAUUUACUGGGCGUAAAGGGCGCGUAGGCGGUCGUGACAAGUCACUGGGGAAAUCUCCGGGCUUAACUCGGAACGGUCAAGUGAUACUGUCGGACUAGAGUACAGAAGGGGCAACUGGAAUUCUCGGUGUAGCGGUGAAAUGCGUAGAUAUCGAGAGGAACACCUGCGGCGAAGGCGGGUUGCUGGGCUGAUACUGACGCUGAGACGCGAAAGCGUGGGGAGCAAACAGG